RNAcentral lists this ribosomal RNA (481 nucleotides) under uncultured bacterium. RNAcentral describes it as "SSU rRNA". It matches the Rfam family "Bacterial small subunit ribosomal RNA", at positions 26 to 518 of the family's 1533-position model. The record is from RNAcentral.
AGGACGAACGCUGGCGGCGCGCUUAACACAUGCAAGUCGAGCGAGAACCAGGGCUUCGGCUCUGGGGACAGCGGCGAACGGGUGAGUAACACGUGGGUAAUCAACCCUCGACAUCGGGAUAGCCCGGGGAAACCCGGAUUAAUACCGAAUGCUCCGUCUGGCCUUCGGGCCGGCCGGAAAAGGUAGCUUCGGCCUCCGGUCGGGGACGAGCCCGCGGCGGAUUAGCUUGUUGGUGGGGUAAAGGCCCACCAAGGCGACGAUCCGUAGCUGGUCUGAGAGGACGAUCAGCCACACUGGGACUGAGACACGGCCCAGACUCCUACGGGAGGCAGCAGUGGGGAAUCUUGCGCAAUGGGCGAAAGCCUGACGCAGCAACGCCGCGUGGAGGACGAAGGCUUUCUGAGUUGUAAACUCCUUUCAGCAGGGACGAUAGUGACGGUACCUGCAGAAGAAGCACCGGCAACUACGUGCCAGCAGCCGC